CAUUUUAAUUUAUAGAUAAGCAAGAAGCCAAGGCAUACUCGAAAGAUAUUUCCUCUUAUUGUGGACGGUUGCUGGAGGAAACUGAAGAUGAGUUAACAGAAUUGAUAAAGAA
Hibiscus syriacus is the source of this 112-nucleotide long non-coding RNA. RefSeq lists it as uncharacterized. The transcript is spliced from 3 exons. The record is from RefSeq and is a predicted model, not a curated record. NCBI's taxonomy places the organism in Eukaryota, Viridiplantae, Streptophyta, Magnoliopsida, Malvales, Malvaceae.